RNAcentral lists this ribosomal RNA (2991 nucleotides) under Triticum aestivum (bread wheat). RNAcentral describes it as "partial small subunit ribosomal RNA". Lineage: Eukaryota; Viridiplantae; Streptophyta; Magnoliopsida; Poales; Poaceae. The record is from RNAcentral.
AUGCCGCCUCCCGCUCGCCGCCGCUCCCACUCCGUCCCCGUGACCGCGGCCCUCCUCGCCGCCGCGCUCCUCGUCUUCGCCGCCGGCGCGGGCGCCGACGACGGGCGGACGCUGCUGGAGAUCAAGAAAUCCUUCCACGAUGCCGACAACGCGCUGGACGAUUGGUCCGGCGACGGGGCGUCCCCGGGCUACUGCUCCUGGCGCGGCGUGCUCUGCGACAACGUCACCUUCCAAGUUGCAGCUCUCAACCUCUCAGGGUUCAAUCUCGGCGGCGAAAUCUCCCCGGCCAUCGGGGAUUUGAAGAGCGUCGUGUCAAUUGAUUUUCAGUCCAGUGGACUUUCCGGGCAGAUCCCUGAUGAGAUUGGUGAUUGCUCCUCGCUUAAAAUGUUGAACCUGUCCUCCAACAAUCUGGAAGGAGACAUACCCUUUUCCAUAUCUAAGCUGAAGCACCUUGAAAACUUGAUAUUGAAGAAUAAUCAGUUGGUGGGGGUGAUCCCGUCGACACUCUCUCAGCUUCCAAAUUUGAAGAUAUUGGACUUAGCUCAGAACAAGCUAAGCGGUGAAAUUCCAAGGUUAAUAUACUGGAGUGAGGUUCUUCAAUACUUGGGACUGCGAAGCAAUAAAUUAGAAGGAAGCCUCUCUCCAGAUAUGUGCCAAUUGACUGGCUUGUGGUACUUUGACAUGAAGAACAAUAGCUUGAUGGGCACAAUACCAGAUACCAUUGGGAACUGUACGAGCUUUCAGGUCUUGGAUUUGUCUUACAAUCACCUUACUGGAGAAAUCCCAUUCAACAUUGGUUUCCUGCAAGUGGCUACAUUGUCUUUGCAAAGGAACAACUUCUCUGGCCCUAUUCCAACAGUGAUCGGCCUUAUGCAGGCGCUUGCAGUGCUGGAUCUGAGUCUUAACCAAUUGUCUGGCCCAAUACCAUCUAUACUUGGCAACUUGACAUACACUGAAAAAUUAUACCUGCAAGGCAAUAAGCUAUCUGGGCCAAUACCACCAGAGCUUGGUAAUUUGUCGGCGCUUAAUUAUUUGGACCUCAAUGACAAUAAACUGACUGGGCUCAUUCCACCUGAGCUUGGAAAACUCACAGCCUUGUAUGACGUGAAUCUUGCAAAUAAUGAACUUGAGGGAAUGAUACCUGGUAAUAUAAGUUCAUGCACAAGUCUUGUUAGCUUCAAUGCUUAUGGCAAUAAAUUGAAUGGGACCAUCCCACGUUCAUUGCACAAGCUUCAGAGCAUGACUUAUUUGAAUUUGUCAUCUAAUUAUCUUAAUGGAGCAAUUCCCACUGAGCUAGCAAGAAUGAUAAACUUAGACGUACUGGAUUUAUCAUGUAACAAGAUCGCUGGUUCGAUUCCUUCAGCAGUCGGCAGCUUAGAGCAUCUUUUGAGACUUAACUUGAGCAAGAAUAAUCUGGUGGGACACAUUCCUGCUGAGUUUGCAAACUUGAGGAGCAUCACGGAGAUUGAUUUGUCCUACAACCACAUUAAUGGUUUCAUUCCUCGAGAGCUUGGAAUGCUGCAAAAUCUGAUACUGUUAAAACUAGAGAGUAACAAUAUGACUGGGGAUGUUUCUUCACUUACUAACUGCUUCAGUCUCAAUGUCUUAAAUAUAUCAUACAACAACCUGGCUGGCGUUGUACCUACAGACAACAACUUUUCACGGUUUUCACCUGACAGCUUCCUGGGUAAUCCUGGACUAUGUGGCUCCUGGCGUGGUUCUUCAUGCCCUUCCUCCAGUCAUGCAAAGAGAUUCUCUGUCUCAAGGGCUGUCAUUCUUGGUAUUGCUAUUGGCGGGCUUGCAAUCCUGUUGUUGAUCCUAGCAGCUGCUUGUUGGCCACACAGUCCAGCCGUUUCCACAGAUUUCUCUGUAAGCAAACAAGAGAUUCAUGCUGUGUUAUCGAGCAAUGUUCCUCCCAAGCUUGUGAUCCUCCACAUGAAUAUGGCCCUCCAUGUAUAUGACGAUAUAAUGAGGAUGACAGAAAAUUUGAGCGAGAAAUACAUAAUUGGGUACGGGGCAUCUAGUACAGUUUAUAAAUGUGUUCUGAAGAACUGCAAGCCAGUGGCAAUCAAAAAGCUAUAUGCUCACUACCCGCAGAGUGUAAAGGAAUUUGAGACUGAGCUCGAGACAAUUGGAAGUAUCAAACACCGGAAUCUUGUCAGCCUUCAGGCUUACUCGCUAUCACCUGCUGGGAAUCUUCUCUUCUACGAGUAUAUGGAAAGUGGCAGCCUCUGGGACGUUUUACAUGCACCUUCGUCCAAGAAGACAAAACUGGACUGGGAGGCUAGACUCCAGAUUGCUCUUGGCACUGCCCAAGGGCUGGCUUAUCUUCACCAUGACUGCAGCCCGCGAAUAAUUCACAGGGAUGUAAAAUCGAAGAAUAUCCUCCUGGACAAGGACUAUGUGGCGCAUCUUGCUGACUUUGGCAUUGCCAAGAGCGUGUGCAUCUCCAAGACCCACACAUCAACCUAUGUGAUGGGCACAAUUGGCUACAUUGACCCUGAGUAUGCGCGGACAUCCCGCCUGAACGAGAAAUCUGAUGUGUACAGCUACGGCGUCGUCUUGCUCGAGCUGCUGACUGGGAAGAAGCCAGUUGACAAUGAGUGCAACCUCCAUCACCUGAUCCUAUCCAAAGCCGCGGACAACACCGUGAUGGAGAUGGUCGACCCAGACAUCACCGCCACAUGCAAGGAUCUCGGCGAGGUCAAGAGGAUGUUCCAGCUGGCGCUCCUCUGCAGCAAGCGGCAGCCGUCCGACCGACCGACGAUGCACGACGUCGUGCACGUCCUCAGCUGCCUGGUCUGCCCAGAAGCGCCCCCGAAGCCGGCGCAGCCACCGGCGUCGCCCCAGUCGUCCACGGCCCCGAGCUACGUGAACGAGUACGUCAGCCUGAGAAGCGGCAGCGCCCUCUCCUGCGCCAACUCGUCGAGCGCGUCCGACGCGGAGCUCUUCCUCAAGUUCGGCGAGGCGAUAUCGCAGAACACAGAGUAG